AUUGAACGCUGGCGGAAUGCUUUACACAUGCAAGUCGAGCGGCAGCGCGGGGCAACCUGGCGGCGAGCGGCGAACGGGUGAGUAAUGUAUCGGAACGUGUCCUGUCGUGGGGGAUAGCCCGGUGAAAACCGGAUUAAUACCGCAUACGAACGAGAGAUUAAAGUGGGGGACCGCAAGGCCUCACGCGAGAGGAGCGGCCGAUAUCUGAUUAGCUAGUUGGUGGGGUAAAGGCCCACCAAGGCUUCGAUCAGUAGCUGGUCUGAGAGGAUGAUCAGCCACACUGGGACUGAGACACGGCCCAGACUCCUACGGGAGGCAGCAGUGGGGAAUUUUGGACAAUGGGGGCAACCCUGAUCCAGCCAUUCCGCGUGAGUGAAGAAGGCCUUCGGGUUGUAAAGCUCUUUUGUCCGGGAAGAAACGGUUUUGGCUAAUAACCAAGACUACUGACGGUACCGGAAGAAUAAGGACCGGCUAACUACGUGCCAGCCGCCGCCGUAA
This 498-nucleotide ribosomal RNA is filed under the name uncultured bacterium. Its description in RNAcentral is "partial 16S ribosomal RNA". It matches the Rfam family "Bacterial small subunit ribosomal RNA", at positions 30 to 523 of the family's 1533-position model. The record is from RNAcentral.